CGGGGAUCUCCGCCACGGUCAUUGCCAAGGCCUGGAUGAUGGACAUUCCCUCGGUCCUUCUAAAUGCCAUGGCUAAAGGAUGACCUCAGCACCUCCAGGAGUCACGAAGGGGAAGGACACUUUUGGAUGGAUGCUGCACGAGCCACUCACAAGGAAAUCCAGCUUCCAUCUGACAUCGAGCUCAGUGUCCUGGAGCCAGCCUUCAUCCAGCAACCCGCAACCCGCGGGCGCACGGCCCCGCUCGGCGCCCCGUUCCCCCCGCCGCGCGCCAUG
This 273-nucleotide long non-coding RNA is filed under the name Gallus gallus (chicken). Lineage: Eukaryota; Metazoa; Chordata; Aves; Galliformes; Phasianidae. The record is from RNAcentral.